GGAGAAGAUGGACUGUAAGGACUUGAAGGUGUGAUUUUUGGACUUGUUGGUGAAUAUGCUUGUGAAGGGCUAUACCUUGCUGAAGGAUUGUAACUUGGUGAGGUUGGACUGUAAGUUGGUGAGGUGGGACUGUAUCCAGGCGAAGUUGGGCUGUAGGCAGGUGAGGUUGGGCUAUAUGAUGGCGAGGUUGGGCUGUACGAUGGAGAGGUUGGGCUAUAUGAAGGUGAGGUUGGGCUGUAAGAUGGAGAGGUUGGGCUGUAAGAGGGUGAGGUAGGGCUGUAAGAGGGUGAUGUGGGGCUGUAAGACGGAGACGUGGGGCUGUAAGCCGGAGAGGUUGGGCUAUACGCAGGUGAGGUUGGGCUGUAUGCUGGAGAAGUUGGGCUGUAGCUCGGAGAUGUAGGGCUGUAGCUCGGAGAUGUGGGGCUAUAGCUAGGAGAUGUUGGGCUGUAGGAAGGAGACGUUGGUGAAUAAGAUGGGCUUGUGGGAGAAUACGCAGGGCUUGUAGGACUAUAUCCAGGAGAACUAGGACUAUAUGUUGGGGACGUAGGGCUGUAACCAGGGGAAGUAGGACUGUACCCAG
RNAcentral lists this long non-coding RNA (580 nucleotides) under Salvia miltiorrhiza (redroot sage). RNAcentral describes it as "long non-coding RNA (SMIL_LNC006841)". The record is from RNAcentral. Lineage: Eukaryota; Viridiplantae; Streptophyta; Magnoliopsida; Lamiales; Lamiaceae.